Molecule: ribosomal RNA, 797 nt
Filed under: uncultured Porphyromonadaceae bacterium
Lineage: Bacteria; Pseudomonadati; Bacteroidota; Bacteroidia; Bacteroidales; Porphyromonadaceae
Description: bacterial SSU rRNA
Rfam family: Bacterial small subunit ribosomal RNA
Source: RNAcentral
AGAGUUUGAUUAUGGCUCAGGAUGAACGCUAGCGAUAGGCCUAACACAUGCAAGUCGAGGGGCAGCACAUGAAGUAGCAAUACGGAUGGUGGCGACCGGCGCACGGGUGAGUAACGCGUAUGCAACCUGCCUACAACAGGGGAAUAACCCGUUGAAAGACGGACUAAUACCCCAUAACACAGGGAUCCCGCAUGGGAAUAUUUGUUAAAGAUUUAUCGGUUGUAGAUGGGCAUGCGUUCCAUUAGCUUGUUGGUGAGGUAACGGCUCACCAAGGCAACGAUGGAUAGGGGAACUGAGAGGUUUAUCCCCCACACUGGUACUGAGACACGGACCAGACUCCUACGGGAGGCAGCAGUGAGGAAUAUUGGUCAAUGGACGCAAGUCUGAACCAGCCACGUCGCGUGAAGGAAGACGGCCCUACGGGUUGUAAACUUCUUUUGUAAGGGAAUAAAGUGUAGUACGUGUACUAUUUUGCAUGUACCUUACGAAUAAGGAUCGGCUAACUCCGUGCCAGCAGCCGCGGUAAUACGGAGGAUCCGAGCGUUAUCCGGAUUUAUUGGGUUUAAAGGGUGCGCAGGCGGGAGAUUAAGUCGGCGGUGAAAUUUUGCAGCUCAACUGUAAAAGUGCCUUCGAAACUGGUUUUCUUGAGUGUGGAUGAAGUAGGCGGAAUUUGUGGUGUAGCGGUGAAAUGCAUAGAUAUCACGAGGAACUCCGAUUGCGCAGGCAGCUACUAAACCAUAACUGACGCUCAGGCACGAAGGCGUGGGGAUCAAACAGGAUUAGAUACCCUGGUAGUC